UUGUAAUGAUUUCAGCUUUUCUGUCUCUCAGAAAAUACUUAUGACUGAAGGGAUAAACUGAGGCUCCCCACCACCAUCGGAAUUUCUCACCUAUGUAUUCAUCAUGUAAGCAGAGUUCAAGUAUAAGUAAUCUUUAUAUAUUCAUGUUGGAAUGUUAUACAGUGUCUGGUUUGACUGCCUCUGAAUCAUGGUAGUAGUGCAUGGGAGGACAUGGAAAAUAAACUAGAAGAGCUGAUGGAUAUAGUUGGAGGAGACACUUCAUACUGUUUCCCUUCCCAUAUGAUCACCAUUAUAGGCAAUGAAUAGAGGGAUGAGAACAACUCAGUGGAAAGGGGGCAAAUGUGUGUGCUCUGAAAUCUUUGGGGGCAAAUGUGUGUGCUCUGCCUAAUUUCUUUUAAUUAUAACCAUCACAAAUGUGUGACACUGUAAAAGUUUGUGUAGCCUGCCCUGAGCCUGGAUAUAUAGAGCGAUCAUGCAGGGCAAAUAUACACACUGGAUUUUCAAUUACAGUGGCGAAAGCAUAGUGACAGAAAAUGUGAAUCAUUCCUGUUUCAAUGUUGUGUAACAACCAGAAGCCUGCAUAGCUCCCUUAAAGGUAGGCACAUAGAAGUGUGUUUCACUUAGGACAGUGGGUUGGAUCUGAGCAUGUACAGUUUGGUUGAUGGGAGUGAAUUUCUCUGCACCCUUUUCAAGAAGAAGCUAACUCCUGUCCAGUUGCUCAGAAAUGCCAUGUAGAUUUACCCUGCAGCUGAACAUCAGAGUAUAGAGUAUGUGGAAAAUCCCUUAAAAUUUGGUGGAUGCACAUUUUGGAAGUCAAGCUGUGAUCAUAGAAGGUGUCUCUGACUAAUUUUUGCUCCUUUCUUCAACAGAGUCCACCCCAGUCAACAGAAAUCCUUGAUCCCAUUUGUCCUACUUUAGGAAGUGGGAGAAGCUAUGACAGGGAGGAAGGCAUGGUUUACCAGCCCCAUUCCAUUUCAACAUAAAACUUAAAUACUGUAUAUACAUAAGCCAACUUCAACCAACAUGUACUUGAGUUACAGAUGCAAAUAGGCUGUUUUGUUUUAAGUUUUAUGUUAACUGUGUAAAAAUGGAAUGGGGCUGGUAAAGCAAACUUUGCGUUACUGUACUUUUAUACCCCAUCUUUCUACUAGAAAGUAGUGCUCAAGGUGACUUGCAGUCUUUGUGAAGAGUUUUACCUCUUCUCUUCAGUAGCCCACAGAAGCCACCAAAAAUCUUCCUGUUUGAGGGAAUCUACUAAUUAGAAUGCCUUGUGGUUUGCAAUGCAGAGGUGUAAGGGGGCAAUAAUAAGAAAGCAGGGCAUGGUACCUUCUGCAUCUCAGAAGAUGGUGCAGACCAAUCUACUAGCCCUGCCCAUAUAAUAUGAUACUAGGGUUGUGGAAAUCUCUCCAACUUGUCCCCACAUUUUCAAGUUUUGAGAUUUUUACUUCAUAUUAUUUCCACGCCAAAUAAGGUGAUCUCCAAAAUUUUAGUAAAUGCAUCAAAAAUCAGAUCGCAUGAGAUUUU
This 1524-nucleotide long non-coding RNA is filed under the name Pogona vitticeps (central bearded dragon). RNAcentral describes it as "lncRNA (ENSPVIG00000006582.1)". The record is from RNAcentral. Lineage: Eukaryota; Metazoa; Chordata; Lepidosauria; Squamata; Agamidae.